ACCGGCUCAUCUGAAUCAUUGAAAAGAUUCACUUCCAAUGAAUGAAUCAUUAACGGAUCGGACAUCGCUCUAUAGUGCCAUCAACCUCCGCCCAUAAACUCUGCCACUUCCUCUUCACGUUUAAUUGCCUACAUACUCAAACAGAUGACACAUCUACCGACACCGAUGGCUGUGGGAAGAGGGAGACUUUCCAUUAAGGAUUCUUUGAGGAAAUGACUGGCUGAGUCGCAUUUCCGUGGUAAAGUGAAGAGCUUGCUGGGAAUGAUUAUUCUCGCUGACUAUAAUGAAACAAGCGGCGCUGGACGUGUAUUCAGUAUUACUUGCAGACAGAUGUGUUGAAGACCGUUCAUUAGAAGAAACUAUGAUACUCAUCCACUGAUGUUCAACUUCAUGAUCAAAACAAACGCACGUCGGACUGCGUCAACCCGACAAGAUCUAAUAUAGAUACCGAAUUUUCUGUUGUUGGCACACUUUGUAAACAAAAAAAAAAAGAAAAAGAAAAUGCCUUCACAAAAACAAGACAGAGAGAGAAAGAGUGAAGGGAGGCUGCUAAAGGCAGUUCAACAUUGCAAACAUGAAUACAAAGCUCCAGCAAGCCAGCAGGAUGGUCUGCGAUUUCUUGGAACUGCAAGGAUAUGAACUGACACAGGGGCUGGACUGACUUUUGUGCUGUGCUCUGUGAAACACAACUUAAAAACCAUACUCAAACUCUCAUACACACAUGCACAGUGAUACGCGUGGUGUUACAAGGGCGGAAAACAACGUGCCUACUAAUGAUGGCGUAGCCAGAAGAAACAACAUGUCCUUCCAGCACAGAUGGCAAGUUUCAUUGGGGAUCUUGCUUGUGAUGGCAGGCCUGGUGCUCUUUAUGACUAUGGAUAUGUACAUUGUUCUCAUUGGCAUGGCUAUAGUGUGUCUGGGUCUGUUUAUUCUCAUCCGUGCCUUCUGCACGGUGAUUAAAUCCAGUCAUGUAGCUGUGACGGGACACUUUCUUCUACACCCGCGAACAGGCACCCAAUAUACCCACCAUCAAGCCAUUGCGGUGCAAAGGAGGCUGGAUCGGAUCCGGAGGGCUACGGCAGAGCAGCACAGUUCAGUCCAAGUGCCUCCCACCUCAGACACCAGUCCACAGAGCCAACCUGCAACCCCUCCCCCCUGGCAAAUGGAGCCGCCACCAUCCUAUGAGACUGUUAUGAAGACCACUACAGCUGUAAACCAAGCAUAACCACUUAUUUGUCUGUAGACACCGACAAAUUAUGAUGUGAUUAUGAAAAGUUGGUCUAAUUGGGGGUGCACAGAUAUCAAAAAUCUGUCAUUCACAGUUAAGCCAGUAAUUAUUUUAAAGGAUUAGUUCACCCCAAAAUGAAAACUCACCCUCAUGUCAUUCCAAACCCGUAAAACAUUUGUUCAUGUUCGGAGCACGAAUUCAUUUAUUUUUGAUGAAAUCUGAGAGCUCCAUAGACAGCAUCGCAACUGAAAUGUUCCCAGGUCCAGAAACGUAGUAAACACAUCGGUAAAACAGUCCACGUGACAUCAGUGACUCAACUUUUUUUUGAGCAAAGAAAACAAAAAUAACAUAAUUUACUCAACCUUUCUUCUCCCCCGAGUUGUCUUCCGCCAUUUUGGAGAGUACCCAAGAACGUAUUGGACAUAAUCAGCGUUGUUUACGUUUGGGUGGAAAGCACGCGCAUGAACGUAAUAUGCGUUAUAAGUGUUGUUUAUGUUUAGAGGAAAGCGUGCGUAUGCACUGUAAUAAUCUCUAAAAUAGCAGGAGACGUAACUUGGGGGAGAAGAAUGGUUGAGUAAAUUGUUAUUUUUGUUUUCUUUGCGCAAAAAAAAAAAAGUAUUCUUGUAGCAUCACAAAACUGAAGUUGAGCAACUAAUGUCACAUGGACUGUUUUACCAAUGUAUUAACUAUGUUUCUGGACCUGAGAACAUUUCAGUUCAGAUUUCAUCAAAAAUAUCUUACUUUAUGUUCCGAAGAUGAACAAAGUUCUUACGGCUUUGGAACGACAUGAGGGUGAGUAAUUAAUGACAUCAUUUUCAUUUUGGGGUGAACUAACCCUUUAAUCUAAUGGCUGAUAACUGAUAAAUAGCCAUAUCAAAAUCUAUUUCAUUUAAAUAAAUAAAUAAAUAAAUACUUUAAAUGCUACAACUAAAUGUAGGCAUCAAAACACAGCGAUGUGAUGAAAGAUGGAUUUUUUUUUCAUGUGCCGUAUGAAAGGUAUUUUUCAGUAACUUUCAUUUUUAGAUCUGCUACUAAUUUUUUUGAUUUGAAUGAAAAAAAAUGUAUGCAUGAACACAGCUCUGCAUGCACUCUACAAGAGAUGAAGCACUUAAAGGGUUAUAUUUUUAAUAUCUCUAUCCUGCAAGUUGAGUAUCUUGAGUAUAUUAAUCUUACUAAAUGAAUCUGAAUCUAAAAGGGAAACUGAACCCAAACUCCAGUUUCCUAUCUUAUGUACUGAUCUAGAAAUUUUUGCUUGUGUG
Cyprinus carpio carpio is the source of this 2487-nucleotide long non-coding RNA. The record is from Ensembl. NCBI's taxonomy places the organism in Eukaryota, Metazoa, Chordata, Actinopteri, Cypriniformes, Cyprinidae.